AUUGAACGCUGGCGGCGUGCCUAACACAUGCAAGUCGAGCGGUAACAGGUGUAGCAAUACAUGCUGACGAGCGGCGAACGGGUGAGUAAUGCUUUGGAAUCUUCCCAGUAGUGGGGAAUAACCAGUCGAAAGAUUGGCUAAUACCGCAUACGUCUGUAAAGGGAAAGCGGGGGACGUCGCCUCUUCUUCGGAAGAGAGGCCUCGCGCUAUUGGAUGAGCCAAAGCGGAUUAGCUAGUUGGUGGGGUAAGUGGCCUACCAAGGCGACAAUCCGUAGCUGGUCUGAGAGGACGACCAGCCACACCGGAACUGAGACACGGUCCGGACUCCUACGGGAGGCAGCAGUGGGGAAGUAUUGGACAAUGGGGAAACCCGUAGAUCCAGCGACGCCGCGUGUGUGAAGAAGGCCUGCGGGUUGUAAAGCACUUUUAGU
RNAcentral lists this ribosomal RNA (431 nucleotides) under uncultured bacterium. RNAcentral describes it as "bacterial SSU rRNA". It matches the Rfam family "Bacterial small subunit ribosomal RNA", at positions 30 to 440 of the family's 1533-position model. The record is from RNAcentral.